CACGUAGGGAGCAAGCGUUGUCCGGAUUUAUUGGGCGUAAAGAGCUCGUAGGCGGCUCAGUAAGUCAGGUGUGAAACCUCCAGGCUCAACCUGGAGACGCCACCUGAUACUGCUGUGGCUAGAGUCCGGUAGGGGAGCGUGGAAUUCCUGGUGUAGCGGUGAAAUGCGCAGAUAUCUGGAGGAAUACCGGUGGCGAAGGCGGCAUCCUGGACCGACAUUGACGCUGAGGAGCGAAAGCAUGGGGAGCGAACAGG
This 254-nucleotide ribosomal RNA is filed under the name uncultured bacterium. Its description in RNAcentral is "partial 16S ribosomal RNA". It matches the Rfam family "Bacterial small subunit ribosomal RNA", at positions 524 to 776 of the family's 1533-position model. The record is from RNAcentral.